This 447-nucleotide ribosomal RNA is filed under the name uncultured bacterium. RNAcentral describes it as "bacterial SSU rRNA". It matches the Rfam family "Bacterial small subunit ribosomal RNA", at positions 355 to 825 of the family's 1533-position model. The record is from RNAcentral.
UCGGGAAUUUUGGGCAAUGGGCGAAAGCCUGACCCAGCAACGCCGCGUGAGUGACGAAGGCCUUAGGGUUGUAAAGCUCUUUUGGCGGGGACGAUAAUGACGGUACCCGCAGAAUAAGCUCCGGCUAACUUCGUGCCAGCAGCCGCGGUAAUACGAAGGGAGCUAGCGUUGUUCGGAAUCACUGGGCGUAAAGCGCACGUAGGCGGAUCGUUAAGUCGGGGGUGAAAUCCCGGGGCUCAACCCCGGAACUGCCUUCGAUACUGGCGGUCUCGAGUCCGAGAGAGGUGGGUGGAAUUCCUAGUGUAGAGGUGAAAUUCGUAGAUAUUAGGAAGAACACCGGUGGCGAAGGCGGCCCACUGGCUCGGUACUGACGCUGAGGUGCGAAAGCGUGGGGAGCAAACAGGAUUAGAUACCCUCGUAGUCCCUGAGCGGGCUGGCAAGGCGCAU